Molecule: ribosomal RNA, 698 nt
Filed under: Psychrobacter maritimus
Lineage: Bacteria; Pseudomonadati; Pseudomonadota; Gammaproteobacteria; Moraxellales; Moraxellaceae
Description: bacterial SSU rRNA
Rfam family: Bacterial small subunit ribosomal RNA
Source: RNAcentral
AAACGAUGAUAGCUUGCUAUCAGGCGUCGAGCGCGGACGGGUGAGUAAUACUUAGGAAUCUACCUAGUAGUGGGGGAUAGCUCGGGGAAACUCGAAUUAAUACCGCAUACGACCUACGGGAGAAAGGGGGCAACUUGUUGCUCUCGCUAUUAGAUGAGCCUAAGUCGGAUUAGCUAGAUGGUGGGGUAAAGGCCUACCAUGGCGACGAUCUGUAGCUGGUCUGAGAGGAUGAUCAGCCACACCGGGACUGAGACACGGCCCGGACUCCUACGGGAGGCAGCAGUGGGGAAUAUUGGACAAUGGGGGCAACCCUGAUCCAGCCAUGCCGCGUGUGUGAAGAAGGCCUUUUGGUUGUAAAGCACUUUAAGCAGUGAAGAAGACUCCGUGGUUAAUACCCACGGACGAUGACAUUAGCUGCAGAAUAAGCACCGGCUAACUCUGUGCCAGCAGCCGCGGUAAUACAGAGGGUGCAAGCGUUAAUCGGAAUUACUGGGCGUAAAGCGAGCGUAGGUGGCUUGAUAAGUCAGAUGUGAAAUCCCCGGGCUUAACCUGGGAACUGCAUCUGAUACUGUUAGGCUAGAAUAGGUGANAGGAAGGUAGAAUUCCCGGUGUAGCGGUGAAAUGCGUAAGAUCUGGAGGAAUACCGAUGGCGAAGGCAGCCUCUGGCUCUAUGACCNGAGUCAAAGCUGGUGCAACAG